CUGGAAGGCUACUUACAAACACACUGGAGUUACGGAUCUGAUGGACUUUCUGCUCGUUUAUGUGCUAUCAUAUGAAAAUAUGCUUCUCUAGACAUGUUCACUGUGUGAAAUAAAGCAAACGAUUCUUAUAAAUGCCACAAAAUCAUCAGCCCUAUAGUGUGUGAUUUUUCCAUAUGUGGAGAUACAACACACCAAAACACACGUUUGUAACACUAGCAUCUAUACAAAGCUGGCAGCUUUCUCACACACACACACACACACACAGAUUUUGCAAAGUGAUAGUCAUCCCUAUUUGAUAGGGGUAGAGCUCAACUCCUUAAAAUCUCAGAAUAUUAUUCAGUUCUUUAUCUUAAAGCAUAUGAUUUAGUAAGUACUAGGAUUUCUUCAGUAACAACACUCAAACUAAUAGCAAAAUGUGUGUAGUUGCAAGAGAGAUGGCUCCUGGGAAUUUAACAGGUUAAGUUAAAAUGGUUCAGCCAAUCGGAAACUUGAUAAUAUAACAUCAACCAAUAACAGAUUACUUAAAUGUUAGCUAGCUUGUUAGGUAACUUGGCUAGUGUUAAUUACACAAUACAAUUCAUUCAUUCAUCUUCAUUAACAACUUUAUCCUGGUAAGGGUCAUGGUGGCUCUGGAGCCUAGGAACACUGGGAUGAGAUGGGAAUAUACACCGGAAACAACUUUACACUUGGGGCAAUUUAGCAUAAACAAUCCACGUACUGACAUGUUUUUGAGAGGUGGGAGAAAACUGGACAAGCAGAAAGACAUGCAGAGAACACGCAAAACUCCAUAAAGAGAGUAACCAGAGCUUGAGAACUGAGGACACACCAGCUUUGAAGUGGGAAUGCAACCCACUGCACCGCAGUAAUUCCUUACACAACAAGUUUACCUAAUGCUAACUGUCUGGCUAGCAAACUUGGCUACUUUUGAUGCAACAUUAGCUAGGUAUUUGGGUAACUUUAGAGGUAAUGUUAAUGUUAGCCAAGCUAAGCAGGGAUGGAUCAGUCCAGUACCAUGGUCUUUUAUUUGUACUGUUAAAAAAUGCUCCGGUACCAGCAGCUAAUACCUCAUGAUACUAUAUGACUAGUGUAAGCCUAGUGUACGUUGUCGCACUAAUUAACAAAAGACAGCAAUCUGAUGCAUCCCUAGAGCUAAUUAGUUUGCAGGCAAUGCUGGGUUAAACAUAGUCCAUCCAUCCAUCCAUUUUCUGUACCGCUUAUCGUAAAGGGGUCGUGGAGAAGCCUAUCCCAUGGAACUUGGAGCAUGAAGCGAAGGACACACUGGAUGGGGUGCCAACCCAUUGCAGGGAACAAUCACACACACAACACAGACAAUUUGGAAAUGCCAACCAGCCUACAAUUCAUGUCUUUGCACUAGGGGUGGAAACCGCACUAGCCGGAGGAAACCCCCGAAGCACAGGGAUUCGAGGCGGGAUUCCAGCCCCCAACCCUGAAGGUGCGAGGCAAAUCAGUUUUAAGUGAAACACUACCUACACCAAGCUGAAGGUACCAAGAAAAGAAAGACUAGUAGUGAUGUUACAUUAUUGUCUUCCAGACUGGCUGAACAAAUUUGUCACUCAGUAAAACCAGGACAUGCAAAACACUCAAGACAUUCAAAUCUGACCAAAAUAUUCACACCAGUUCAAAUGUUCUACUGUGAACGAAAACAUCAUAACAGCAAAUAUUGUGACGGGAAUAAAUAUAGUGACCGAUUUAAUGUGUGCAUGUGUGUGCGUUUGUGUUGAAAUCAGAAUUAUAUUGCUGAAAGUGGAAUGAGAAUGACACACACACAAACACACACAAAGCAUUCAGCCGUGACCAAAGAUUACACGCAGAUAACCAGCAUGGAUAACAAUGUGCGCAAACCAGCAUGAUAAAAAAAACACACACGCAUGUUCUCACAGAGCAAGUGUUUGCUAAAUAAACAGCCAACUGGCACUCCGUUCCAGCCGAGAUAAUGAGACGGUACCUCCGUCGGUGUGGUAUGUGCUCUCAAUUCUUAUAUCACUGCCAGACAGAUCAGUGAGAAUGAGGUUUUUCCCAGAUGUGAUCAGUGAUGCAAAGCUAAAGUUCAAAGUUUCUAUACAGGCAUAUACACAGACCAUCACUUUAGAGUCAAAACCUUUUUUGUCACAUAUUGCUGUCGGUCAGCGGUUGGAAUAAAAUAUAUAUACAGUUUGUGCUGCUUUUUGUUAUAUCCUGUGGGAAGAGAGUGCUCACUCUUUCUCUUUCCUAUCAUCUCCUGCCGAAAACAAACUGAAAUUGAACUUUAAAAUGCAGAACAAUAAAACACAGAUGGUAUUUAAAAGGACCUGUUAGAAAAAUGACGCUUCCAAGGUAUGUUUUGGGCAAGUUAUUUUGUUUCACAGAAAUAUAUGUUGAUUUCUAGAGAAAUAUGAAUUCCAAAGAAAAAAUAUUUCGCUUGCACAACAUAUGAAAGUAUUUCUCUGGAUUCUUAUAUAUUUAUGUGUGUGUGUGUGUGUAUGUAGUGGUCUGGGAAAACUCAGAUACAAAGAUCACACUGGGUAAGGAGACGCAGUGGUAAAAUCAGUUAGUCUGUUUAAAGAUGUCUAAAAGCCUUGCAAGCUAAGUGUGAUUUCCUCACACAGAGAAUGUCACAAUUUGGUAAAGUUGUUGGAUAGUUAUGCGCCAUAGUGAAAUCGAAAUAAACCUAAUCGCUUACAGUAAGCACGUAAUGAGAUAACAGCUGUAAGAAAUGUCUAUGUCCUUGUUGGAAUGAAACAUUAAAAAUUCUGUCACUUUACAUCUGCUUCAGAUUUAUGCCAAAAUAAAAAUAAAAAAAUAAAAUAAAUAAAAAAUAAGAGAGAGAAAAGAAACAAAGUCAGGUCAGAAACAUUGUUAAAACUAUAUAGAGUAGAAAAUGUGGAAAAUGUCACCAUGCAAAGGGUUUUCCCAGGCCGCCACAUAUAUUACAUGAAAAAAAUAUGGAAGCACAAUAACUAAACAUUAGUUCUUUCUACUGUAAGUGAUACAAGACAAUAUCUUUAAGAACAGAACUAAACGUCUGCAGCAACAUGGUUCGGAUCUCUUUCUUUAUCUUUAAAGGCAACCAGACAAAUUCAGGAACAUUCCUGAAAUUUCAAUAAUUACUGGCGUGAAGACAUUCCAGGGGGUCUUCUAAAGUGACUCAUGGGAUGCAGUAAACACUCAUGUUACUCCCACAGGAUCUCAAUCCAAUACCCAAUUUUUUUUUCCAUGUAGUACGCCUGGACUAAAUGUCAGGUUAUUUGGCAAAUUGUCCUAAUUGUAAACGGUUUCCGAAACUUGUUUCUACACUUUCAGCCUGUAAUGCACCACUCUGUGUGUAAGAAGUUACUGAGAAGACCAGCAGUCAAUACAGUUCCGGUAUUGUUUAUAAACAAUGAGCAGAUAAAGACUGAUUUUUAAGGAAUAAAACAUGGCAUGAUGGAGUGUGCUGUUACAGGAAAAUAAUCUAUAUCAAAUUUCCUAUAACAGCAUGUCCUGGAGUGUGUUAUUCCUCUUGUACCACAGCAAUUUGCCAAUGAUUACAAAUUUCUAAUUUAUUAUUGAACUUAUUAUUUUUAAUUUUAUGAUCACUUAUGUUGUAACAGAUAUAAAUAAUCGUUCCCUCGCCAGCCUUAUUAUUAUUUUUUAAAGCUCUCCCUUGAAAUUAAUAAGACAAAAAACUUCAGCAUGAAGACUUUCCUGUGGUAGAAAACUUACUGUUCCAAAGUGCUGACACUGGAGAAAACCUUUAUCAAAAAGUAUUCAUUUUUCUUGUUGUUAAUAUAUAUAUAUAUUUUAUUCCGUGCAUUAAAAUGAGAGAUGUGAGCUUUAUUUGCCUUGUUUUGUUUUGAGAUAUUAUGGAGUCUCAAAUCUCAUACUAUGUACUUGACAAGACCACAGGAACACCUACUGACUUCAAACCUCCAAAUGCUCCAUUAAUUUGCAUUGAUUUUCAAUAAUUUACACCAGAACACCCUCAGAUUUCUCCACUCUACUCUUGCUAUGUAAAGCAGGGUCUAACCAUUGAGUGCAAAGUUCCAGUAUUUUGCACCUCACCUUUCAGAGCAUCGAGUAUAUAUUAGAGGCAUUUAUAGUGCAUACAUUUUGCUGAAUUUCCCAGCCAGGGAAAUGUAAAAAUUGUUAGUGCACUACGUUUAUACUGUGCACACGUUGCUACUUGUUU
This is a long non-coding RNA of Ictalurus punctatus (channel catfish), 4168 nucleotides long. NCBI's taxonomy places the organism in Eukaryota, Metazoa, Chordata, Actinopteri, Siluriformes, Ictaluridae. The record is from Ensembl.